Pyrus x bretschneideri (Chinese white pear) is the source of this 596-nucleotide long non-coding RNA. RefSeq lists it as uncharacterized. NCBI's taxonomy places the organism in Eukaryota, Viridiplantae, Streptophyta, Magnoliopsida, Rosales, Rosaceae. The record is from RefSeq and is a predicted model, not a curated record. The transcript is spliced from 3 exons.
UUUAUCCGAAGCUAUUGUAUGAGUUUAGAUGAUUAAGUUGGUUGUUGGAAUUUCGGGGACGAAAUUCUAUAAGGAGGGAAGGUUGUCACAACCCGUCCCAGAAUUUUAAUUCCGAGGACGUGAAGUUAUGAAAAUGCCCUUAAACGGGACUAAGGGGCGUAAAAUAUGUUGUAACUUGAUGAUUUGGGGAUUGGGUAGGAUCCCACCUCCCUCAAAUCUCUCCCUCAUUCCCGUACCUUGUCUCUCUCUCUCUCCUCCCUCACAAAUCUCUCAUUCACUCUCCGUUCUCUCUCUCUCCUUCGAACUCACACGGACCACCCACAAACCACCCUAAAACUAUACCAACGAAGGAUCUAAGACCACCAUCGUACUCUUGAGGACCACACGAACACGAUGGUACCAAUUUCAGCUUGUAGGAAGCUUGGUGAGGUCCUAAGGAAGCUCGGAGUGCUUCGUUUGAAGGAUUUGGACGUCGGGAUCACGAACUAUUACGUGAAAAAUGGACGUAAGAACAAGGAGAAUGACAAGUUCAAAGUUUGGCCGGAGCUUUCGGGGUUUUUUCCGGCGAAUCCACGGCGAGUUAGGGGUCGAGGCAG